UAGCUCAGUCGGUAGAGCAUCAG
Molecule: non-coding RNA, 23 nt
Filed under: Drosophila melanogaster (fruit fly)
Lineage: Eukaryota; Metazoa; Arthropoda; Insecta; Diptera; Drosophilidae
Also listed under: 2 other names
Source: RNAcentral